This is a long non-coding RNA of Oncorhynchus tshawytscha (Chinook salmon), 3141 nucleotides long. The record is from Ensembl. Lineage: Eukaryota; Metazoa; Chordata; Actinopteri; Salmoniformes; Salmonidae.
GUGGAUACAUUUUUUUGAAAGGCAUGAUUGACGCUUGUGAAUGGCAGGCGAAAAACGAGUCCAGCAAGUUAGAAAAAAUUCCAAGUCUAGUUUUCCGUCAUCGUACAAAACCCCCUCUGCCCAGGAGUUGCUCAUCUUUAGUUCUCAGAAAGAGAGGAGUUAUUUGUACAUACUUUCUCAUCUGAGUAGUCUACAGGUCCUAGCAGACACAACGUCUCUGAUAUUCUCAGAGACCUAAAAGGACAUGGAUAUGAAGCCUCUGAUGAUUCUCCUCCUGCUAGCAGCUGUCACCACCACCGCCCCUGCAGCAGCUCAAACCACCACCGCCCCUGCAGCAGCUGUCACCACCACCACUCCCGCAGCAGCUGCCACUACCACCACUCCUGCAGCAGCUGGUACCACCACCACUCCUGCAGCAGCUGGUACCACCACAGCUUCGGCAGCAACCACUUCCGCUGCUGUCAUAUCAACUGACCCUCCAUCUUCUAGUGAAGGAACAAUGAGUCUUCAGUUCCGUCUCAACCAGACGUUCAACUCAGAUCUUUCCAACCCUUCCUCUUCAGGGUUCAAGACUCUGGCUGCCAAAGUGAUCUCUGAGGUGAACAAGGCUUUUGCUAAGACCCCAGGCUUCCGUCGUUCCAUUGUCAACUCAUUCAGGAGUGGAUCUGUGGUUACCGACAUUACCCUCGUGUUCGACAAUCAGUCUUCGGUUCCCAGCUCAAGCAACUCACAGGCAAUUCUCACCAGCAGUUCCACCUCCCUGAACAUUAUACCAGGCAGCAUCAGUGAUGGGUCAUCAACCAGCUCAGGAAGUGCUCCCCGACCCACUUCUUUCUCUCUGGCUGCCUUGCCUCUCAGUUUGGCUCUGUUAAUGGUACAGCUGCUGGCUAGCUAAUAGCCUGGGACAUAGCUGCUGUGGCUCUGCUAGCUACUAGGCUAGCUAAUAGCCUGGGGCAUAGCUGCUGUGGCUCUGCUAGCUGCUGGCUAACCAAUAGCCUGGGGCAUAGCUGCUGUGGCAUUGGUUUAACCAAUCAACAGUUUCCCAGCUCUCAUAGAUACAGCCUUAAAGCUAGAAUCCUUAGUUGCUACACCCAUUUUUUUACUUAUAAAUUCAUUAUAUCUACCCAUUGAUUCUAGAAGAAUAUAACAUAUGAAUACCUCAUGAGUUUAGAUCAACUGUCGUACCCCAUCAGAACCCACAAUAUGAGCUUGUUUUACCCCGAUGUUUCUAAACAAUGCAAACAAACACUGUACAGCUUUAAAACAUGAUUAAAACUAUAAUUCUGAUAUCAUGGAUGGUCAGUCCUGGCAUCCAUAGCUCUGUCUAUUUUAUUUUACGUGUCAAGUCAGUUAAGAACAAAUUCUUAUUUAAAAUGACGGCCUAGGAACAGUGGGUUAACUGCCUUGUAGCGGGGCAGAAUGGCAGAUUUUUGCUCGGGGAUUCGAUCUUGCCUUUUCGGUUACUAGUCCAAGACUCAUUAGAGCUGUCAAUUUUGCAUGAGGCGGCAGCCUAGUGGUUAGAGUGUAGAGGUGGCAGGUAGCCUAGUGGUUAGAGUGUAGAGGAGGCAGGUAGCCUAGUGGUUAGAGUGUAGAGGUGGCAGGUAGCCUAGUGGUUAGAGUGUAGAGGUGGCAGGUAGCCUAGUGGUUAGAGUGUAGAGGUGGCAGGUAGCCUAGUGGUUAGAGUGUAGAGGAGGUAUAACCGAUAGGUUGCUAGAUCAAAUCUUCUGAGCUGACAAGAUAAACAUCUGUCAUUCUUCCCCUGAACCAAGGCAGUUAACCUGCUGUCAUUGGAAAAAAAUAUUUUGUUCUUAAAUAAAGAGCUGUCAAAGAUACAGAAAUCCCAUGUAGCAUUGUUCGAACACUGGAAUGUGAGAUGUAAUCUACACCUCGAUUAGGUUAUAAUGAUUUUUCCAAAUUGAGCGUCAAUAUUUUCAAAAUAACCUACACACUUCCUCGUUCUGAACUUGAAAGAGAAAAAGAGAGGGAAGGAGAAUUGACAGCUGAUUAAAACCUCUUAAGGAUAGGCGGGAUGCAAAUGUCUCAACUGGUCAAUUGCCAGGGGAAAUGCAGAGCGCCAGAUUCAAAUAAAAUGCUAUAGAAUUCAAACUUUCGUUAAAUCACACAUGUAAGAUACUCAAUUAAAGCUACACUCGUUAUGAAUCCAGCCAACAUGUCAGAUUUUUAAAAAAUGCUUUUCGGCGAAAGCAUAAGAAGCUAUUAUCUGAUAGCCUUCACCGUCUACACCAGCAGUGAACAAAGGAGCUAGCAUAUUACAACACAAAAGUGUCCCCAGUUCCGAGUUGGCCUACUUCUUCAUUGCACAAAGGAAUAACCUCAAACAAAUUCCAAAGACUGGCAACAGUCGGUAGGAACUGUAAAUAGGUUCCUAUGAAAUAUCCCAUGGCAGAGACAAUAUAGGGAACAGAGGGGGGGGGGAAUUCUGAACAGUUAGUCCUCUGGGUUUUGCCUGCUACAUAAGUUCUGUUAUACUCACAGACAUGAUUCAAACAGUUUUAGAAACUUCAGAGUGUUCUCUAUCCAAAUCUAUGAAUAAUAUGCAUAUCUUAUAUUCUUGGCAUGAGUAGCGGGAAGUUGAAAUUGGGCACACUAUUUAUCCAAAAGUGAAAAUUCUGCCCCCUAGCUUUAAGAGGUUUUAAGAUCAGUUACACCUCCAACACGUUAUUUAUUUAACCAGGCUAGUUGAGAACAAGUUGCCAAACAAUAGCUGUCGUCAGUCACUGGUAAACAGCUGAUUUGAUGGAAGCUAGGCCCUUAUCUUUCACGUUACUAUUAUUUAAAAUUUAACCUCUCACAUACAUCAAUUCAUGAUGACUUGCACACAGUUUAUCCGUCAAAUUUUUAUACUGAAAAUAACUAAAAGAAACAAAAACUUACAAAUUGUACAAUUUAUUUAUUUUUUAAAUAUUUUUAUUUGAUCAUAGUUCCCUCUUUAAUUAUUAACUGCUGUAACUAUAUUUACAUUUAAAUGUGUUAUUUUGGGCACAUCACUGAAGUGUCAAAGUGACUGAGGGACUAACGGGGACCACUUCAAUGUUUUAAAACUGUUGUAGAGCCUCGGCUGGUUUGUACUUGUCUUGUUAUUAUUAAAUCUAAUAUAUUAUGUACCACUCGUAGAAUAUA